AAUGAUACAUUAGCAGCCGUCCAAUCAAUUGAUCUAAAUAUUGCAGACGGAGUUUCAAAUACCCCUAAACUUGGAUGCUCUUCCACAGGUCUGCAAUCUACAGGAGCAGAAGUACCACCUUCUUCAGGAUGGAAGUCCAUCUCAUCUCCACUCUGCAUGUCACCUUCCUCAAAUAGCCGAUUAUCUAUGUGCACCAUAUCAUCGACAGGUGUAUAAACUGAUGAUUCUCUAAUAGUGACACCAACCGCAUCAGGAUCAACGAGAGAAAAUUGAUCCUCUGCAUGUCUGAAACUUUGAGUCUCUGGUACAUGCUCAGUGCUCUGAGCUGUUCGAGAU
RNAcentral lists this long non-coding RNA (336 nucleotides) under Elaeis guineensis (African oil palm). Its description in RNAcentral is "long non-coding RNA (EGUI_LNC077879)". The record is from RNAcentral. Lineage: Eukaryota; Viridiplantae; Streptophyta; Magnoliopsida; Arecales; Arecaceae.